UAUGGGAGGCAGCAGUGGGGAAUAUUGGACAAUGGGCGAAAGCCUGAUCCAGCAAUGCCGCGUGAGUGAUGAAGGCCUUAGGGUUGUAAAGCUCUUUUACCAGGGAUGAUAAUGACAGUACCUGGAGAAUAAGCUCCGGCUAACUUCGUGCCAGCAGCCGCGGUAAUACGGAGGGAGCUAGCGUUGUUUGGAAUUACUGGGCGUAAAGAGUACGUAGGCGGUGAUUCAAGUCAGAGGUGAAAACCUGGAGCUCAACUCCAGAACUGCCUUUGAAACUAGAUCGCUAGAAUUAUGGAGAGGUUAGUGGAAUUCCGAGUGUAGAGGUGAAAUUAGUAGAUAUUCGGAAGAACACCAGUGGCGAAGGCGACUAACUGGACAUAUAUUGACGCUGAGGUACGAAAGCGUGGGGAGCAAACAGGAUUAGAUACCCUGGUAGUCCACCCCGUAAACGAUGAUAACUAGCUGUUCGGGGUCUACGAUCCUCAGUGGCGCAGCUAACGCAUAAGUAU
RNAcentral lists this ribosomal RNA (509 nucleotides) under uncultured Alphaproteobacteria bacterium. RNAcentral's name for it is "bacterial SSU rRNA". It matches the Rfam family "Bacterial small subunit ribosomal RNA", at positions 340 to 868 of the family's 1533-position model. The record is from RNAcentral. Lineage: Bacteria; Pseudomonadati; Pseudomonadota; Alphaproteobacteria.